RNAcentral lists this ribosomal RNA (262 nucleotides) under uncultured bacterium. RNAcentral's name for it is "partial 16S ribosomal RNA". It matches the Rfam family "Bacterial small subunit ribosomal RNA", at positions 1231 to 1500 of the family's 1533-position model. The record is from RNAcentral.
UGGGGGGUACGAGAGGGCCGCUACCACGCGAGUGGAUGCCAAUCCCCAAAACCUCUCUCAGUUCGGACUGGAGUCUGCAACCCGACUCCACGAAGCUGGAUUCGCUAGUAAUCGCGCAUCAGCCACGGCGCGGUGAAUACGUUCCCGGGCCUUGUACACACCGCCCGUCAAGCCAUGGGAGCCGGGGGUACCUGAAGUGCGUAACCGCGAGGAGCGCCCUAGGGUAAAACUGGUGACUGGGGCUAAGUCGUAACAAGGUACC